GGCGAAGGCAGGUCUCUGGGCCGUUACUGACGCUGAGGAGCGAAAGCGUGGGGAGCGAACAGGAUUAGAUACCCUGGUAGUCCACGCCGUAAACGGUGGAUGCUGGAUGUGGGGCCCGUUCCACGGGUUCCGUGUCGGAGCUAACGCGUUAAGCAUCCCGCCUGGGGAGUACGGCCGCAAGGCUAAAACUCAAAGAAAUUGACGGGGGCCCGCACAAGCGGCGGAGCAUGCGGAUUAAUUCGAUGCAACGCGAAGAACCUUACCUGGGCUUGACAUGUUCCCGACAGCCGUAGAGAUAUGGCCUCCCUUCGGGGCGGGUUCACAGGUGGUGCAUGGUCGUCGUCAGCUCGUGUCGUGAGAUGUUGGGUUAAGUCCCGCAACGAGCGCAACCCUCGCCCUGUGUUGCCAGCACGUCGUGGUGGGAACUCACGGGGGACCGCCGGGGUCAACUCGGAGGAAGGUGGGGAUGACGUCAGAUCAUCAUGCCCCUUACGUCCAGGGCUUCACGCAUGCUACAAUGGCCGGUACAACGGGAUGCGACACGGCGACGUGGAGCGGAUCCCUGAAAACCGGUCUCAGUUCGGAUUGGAGUCUGCAACCCGACUCCAUGAAGGCGGAGUCGCUAGUAAUCGCGGAUCAGCAACGCCGCGGUGAAUGCGUUCCCGGGCCUUGUACACACCGCCCGUCAAGUCAUGAAAGUGGGUAGCACCCGAAGCCGGUGGCCUAACCCUUUGUGGAUGGAGCCGUCUAAGGUGAGACUCGUGAUUGGGACUAAGUCGUAACAAGGUAGCCGUACCGGAAGGUGCGGCUGGAUCACCUCCUUUCUACGGAG
Molecule: ribosomal RNA, 832 nt
Filed under: Collinsella aerofaciens
Lineage: Bacteria; Bacillati; Actinomycetota; Coriobacteriia; Coriobacteriales; Coriobacteriaceae
Description: bacterial SSU rRNA
Rfam family: Bacterial small subunit ribosomal RNA
Source: RNAcentral